CCACGUCGAUAGGCCGGGAGUGCAAGCGCGGUAACGCGCUGAGCUGACCGGUACUAAUCGCCCGAUCGGCUUGAUCGC
Non-coding RNA from Methylobacterium sp. Leaf456, 78 nucleotides. Lineage: Bacteria; Pseudomonadati; Pseudomonadota; Alphaproteobacteria; Hyphomicrobiales; Methylobacteriaceae. The record is from Rfam.